AACAUUCCGUGACUACCUUUAGUAGCGAUGCGGAGAAGAAGCAGUGACACUUCCGCGAGCCGACGGAAUGGCUCGUUGAAGAGUGUAGGCGUUGAUCACGGCAGGCAAAUCCGCCGUGAGAGCCGAACUUGAAAGUACAGGGUCCUCUUCGGAGGAACCUGAUAGCGAGGGUAAGCAUACUCCCGAGAAAAUCCGCUAAGCUUAACCCAUGCGGCACCCGUACCGCAAACGGACACACGUGGUCGGGUAGAACAUACUAAGGCGUUGAGAGAUUCAUGGUUAAGGAACUAGGCAAAUUCACCCUGUAACUUCGGGAGAAGGGG
This 323-nucleotide ribosomal RNA is filed under the name Anaerosalibacter bizertensis. RNAcentral's name for it is "partial 23S ribosomal RNA". It matches the Rfam family "Bacterial large subunit ribosomal RNA", at positions 1432 to 1748 of the family's 2925-position model. Lineage: Bacteria; Bacillati; Bacillota; Tissierellia; Tissierellales; Sporanaerobacteraceae. The record is from RNAcentral.